RNA transcript from Hyla sarda, 2707 nucleotides. It is a transcript of the gene named phospholipid scramblase 2-like, with no coding region annotated. The record is from RefSeq and is a predicted model, not a curated record. Lineage: Eukaryota; Metazoa; Chordata; Amphibia; Anura; Hylidae. The transcript has 3 exons.
AGCCCCUACUUUUUACUAGCCGGCAGGUCAUUUUUGGAGGAGAUUUUAAUACUGUUACAAGGUCUCUUGAUAGGGGAGGCUCCAGGGAUCGGCUAGAUUAUGAUAGCGUCGCCUUGAAUAGAAUAGCUAGUGAGUCUCGCCUGGUGGAUGUCCACAUCCGGCACACCCCAGGUCACAGCGGGUUCACUUACUUUAGAGGUAGAGAGAUCAGGUCUAGGAUAGAUAGGUUUUUUUUGAAGGAGGAUUCUGUCUCUUCACCUUUACAGGUUGUUGAGGUGGAGUUCUCCGACCACUGUUUGAUUAUGUUCUCUUUGAAUGUUUCAGAGACCCCCAGGAUGGGAAGGGGAUUGUGGAAGCUGAAUUCGUCCCUCCUGGUAGUCAAGGAGAUAAGACGGUCCUUUGAGGAGUUUCUGCAGAGCCAGGUACCAUUACUGGACUUAUGCAACACUAAGUCAGAGUGGUGGGAGAUGUUCAAAAAACGGGCUGCGAGAUUCUUCCGCCAGACCGCGAACCUUAGGAGUCUGAAUAGGGAUCGUCUCUAUCAGGAACUAAGGAGGAAACUCGAGGUUCUUGUCUCGACUGGAGGUGACCGAGAGGAAAUCUCCAGAGUGAAAUCUUUGCUAAAGAAGUGCCAGUAUGAUAGACACGCAUCUUUAGUUUUUGAAAGGGAUUUCGGGAAGUACCGCUCGCCCGACCCUUUCCGGAGCUGUAAGAUGUCAGUGGAUUGUAAGAUCGUGACCGGCCUGGUCGAUAGUACAGGAUCUCUGAACAAGUCCAGAUCGGGGAUCCUGGAGGUCGUCAGAGCCUUUUACUCGCACCUCUUGGGGAAGAGGGAUCUAGAUCGAGGCAAGAUGGCGGCUUUCCUGGCUGAUGCCAUUCCUCAGUCAGGAGUAGACCCCUCUCUUAGUGUUUUGACAGAGAAGAGGAAGUGAAGCUGGCGAUUGAGAGGCUUGCCCUCAAAAAGUCGCCAGGUCCGGAUGGCUUAACAUCCGAGUUUUAUAAGACCUUUAAGGACAUCUUGGUUCCCCUCUUUACUGAGGUAAUAAAUGAGUGUCUAUCCUCGGGCACUCUGCCGAAGUGUAUGUGGAGGUCGGCUCUGAUCAUCCUGUCAAAGGGUAAAGACUCGUCCCACAUUGAGAAUUGGCGUCCCAUAGCGCUUCUCAAUGUGGACAGAAAGAUUCUGGCAAAAGUGCUAUUCAACAGGUUGGUGAAAUUUGCCCCUCAGCUCCUUUCGGGGUCCCAGCACUGCUCUGUUCCCGGUCGUAGCACUUUUAGUGCGGUGCUGGGUGUCCGCGAGGCCAUGGAGCAGGGUCAGGCUGGUCACUGGAAGGGGUUUCUGCUGUCCCUGGACCAGGCAAAGGCUUUUGAUCGAGUUGAUCACGAGUAUCUCUGGUCCACUCUUUUGAAAUACGGUCUGCCAGGGGGGGUUUGUGGAUUGGCUGAGAACAUUGUACGCAGGGGCUGAGACUUUUCCAUUGGUAAACGGUUGGGUGGGCCGCCCUUUUGGGGUGGAGUCUGGUGUGCGUCAAGGCUGUCCGUUAAGCCCUUUGCUUUAUGUGUUCGCGAUCGACCCCUUCCUUCGAAGGCUAGAUCGCGAACCAUUGGCGGGGGUGAGGAUGGACCCGGCGGUGCCGGAUUCGGCCUUAAGGGUAGUGGCAUACGCUGAUGACGUCUCCAUUUUUGUCUCUUCGCAAGGGGAGGCGGAAUGGGUGAUGUCGGAGGUGGAUUGCUACUCGGAGGCAUUCGGGUCUAAGAUCAACCGGGAAAAGUGCAAAAGUCUUUGGUUGGGAGGUGGAGACCCUGAGUUCUGUCUCCCGGACACCCUCCCUGUGCCCCAGGAAUCUGCAAAAAUUCUGGGCAUCGAAUUUGGUCCCGGGGAUUACCCCACACGAAAUUGGGAAAGCAGACUGGAAGAUGUCUCCAAAAGAGUGGAACAGUGGAAAGGUUGGUCUUUGACCUUUAGGGAAAGGGUCUUCUUGAUCAGGUCCUACUUGCUCCCGUUGUUAAUCUAUUUGGGCAGUGUCAGCCUUUUGCCAGAACCCCUCUGGAGCCGGGUCUACAGUCUGUUCUUCCUAAUGUUGUGGGGGAAUAGACUGAACCUAAUUAAGAGGGAGGUGACUUACCGCACGAGGAGACUAGGCGGGUUGGGUAUGGUCAACCCGGUGGUAUUCCUAGUGAAUUCCUUUUUAAAGACCAAUAUAUCAAACCUCUGGACAGAGAGGGCUCCUCCGUGGGUAGUCUCUUGCAGGAGAUGGUUUCAGCCUUUCUUCCAGGAAUGGGAGAGAGGCGGUCAAGUGAAGGAUCUUCGCACGUCACACGGGCAUCUCCCGACUUAUGUUGCACUGGUUCUGAAGGUCAUCAGGAGGUGGGGGCUGGGGAUGUGGGAGGUAAGAACUCUGCCGAGGAAAAUCCUCGAUAACAGGGUCUUGCUGAGCCAUUUCCAGAAACCACUGGCCCUCAAGGAUUGCCCAGGUCGGGAUCAAGGGAUUGGGUUGGCUCUUUUAAAUUCACCUAGGAUCCCCUUGAAGUAUUGGGACUUGACCUGGCGGGGCUUCCAUGUAGGCGGUUUACAGAUGACAUCACAGCCAUGUGCACAUUUAUCAGCUGAUCCUUAAGUUACAACAGAACAGAGAACAACUUCCUGAUCUACUACAGAGAGCGGAGGAGAAGAAGCAAAACAGGAGCAGAAAAGAUAGUAAUGGCCGCC